RNAcentral lists this unclassified non-coding RNA (263 nucleotides) under plant metagenome. RNAcentral describes it as "partial contains small subunit ribosomal RNA, internal transcribed spacer 1, and 5.8S ribosomal RNA". The record is from RNAcentral.
UUUCCGUAGGUGAACCUGCGGAAGGAUCAUUAUUGUAUAACCGAGGUGCGAGGGCUGUCCCUGACCCGAAAGGUCGUGGACGCCCGAGUGCCCUCACACACAUCCAUCUCACCCCUAUGUGCACCACCGCGUGGGUCCCCCUUUGGCUUGUUCGGAGGGGGGCUUACGUUUUCACACAAACUUUGUAUGCAGUGUAGAAUGUAUUUUUUGUUUUUGCGAUCACGCAAUCAAUACAACUUUCAACAACGGAUCUCUUGGCUCUC